RNAcentral lists this ribosomal RNA (253 nucleotides) under uncultured bacterium. RNAcentral's name for it is "partial 16S ribosomal RNA". It matches the Rfam family "Bacterial small subunit ribosomal RNA", at positions 524 to 776 of the family's 1533-position model. The record is from RNAcentral.
UACGGGGGGGGCAAGCGUUGUUCGGAAUUACUGGGCGUAAAGGGCUCGUAGGUGGCCAACUAAGUCAGACGUGAAAUCCCUCGGCUUAACCGGGGAACUGCGUCUGAUACUGGAUGGCUUGAGUUCGGGAGAGGGAUGCGGAAUUCCAGGUGUAGCGGUGAAAUGCGUAGAGAUCAGCAGGAACACCCGUGGCGAAGGCGGCCCCCUGGGCCGUACCUGACGCUGAGGCGCGAAGGCUAGGGGAGCGAACGGG